GAACCUGAAGGAGUUUCUGGAGGGGCGGAACCUGAUUACCAAACUGGAGGCCAAACAUGACCUGAUACAGAAGACUCUGGGAGAGAGUCAGAAGACUGACUGUUGCCUUGCCAGUGACAGGAGGAAC
Molecule: long non-coding RNA, 127 nt
Organism: Coregonus clupeaformis (lake whitefish)
Lineage: Eukaryota; Metazoa; Chordata; Actinopteri; Salmoniformes; Salmonidae
Exons: 3
Source: RefSeq, a predicted model, not a curated record